This 253-nucleotide ribosomal RNA is filed under the name uncultured bacterium. Its description in RNAcentral is "partial 16S ribosomal RNA". It matches the Rfam family "Bacterial small subunit ribosomal RNA", at positions 524 to 776 of the family's 1533-position model. The record is from RNAcentral.
UACGUAGGGUGCAAGCGUUAAUCGGAAUUACUGGGCGUAAAGCGUGCGCAGGCGGCUUUGCAAGACAGAUGUGAAAUCCCCGGGCUUAACUUGGGAAUUGCGCUUGUGACUGGCGUGCUGGAGUGUGGCAGAGGGAGGUGGAAUUCCACGUGUAGCAGUGAAAUGCGUAGAGAUGUGGAGGAACACCGAUGGCGAAGGCAGCCUCCUGGGCCAGCACUGACGCUCAUGCACGAAAGCGUGGGGAGCAAACAGG